UCUAGCUUGCUAGAUUGAUGGCGAGUGGCGANCNGNNGNGNAAUACAUCGGAACGUGCCCUGUAGUGGGGGAUAACUAGUCGAAAGAUUAGCUAAUACCGCAUACGACCUGAGGGUGAAAGUGGGGGACCGCAAGGCCUCAUGCUAUAGGAGCGGCCGAUGUCUGAUUAGCUAGUUGGUGGGGUAAAGGCCCACCAAGGCGACGAUCAGUAGCUGGUCUGAGAGGACGAUCAGCCACACUGGGACUGAGACACGGCCCAGACUCCUACGGGAGGCAGCAGUGGGGAAUUUUGGACAAUGGGCGAAAGCCUGAUCCAGCAAUGCCGCGUGUGUGAAGAAGGCCUUCGGGUUGUAAAGCACUUUUGUCCGGAAAGAAAUGGCUCUGGUUAAUACCUGGGGUCGAUGACGGUACCGGAAGAAUAAGGACCGGCUAACUACGUGCCAGCAGCCGCGGUAAUACGUAGGGUCCAAGCGUUAAUCGGAAUUACUGGGCGUAAAGCGUGCGCAGGCGGUUGUGCAAGACCGAUGUGAAAUCCCCGAGCUUAACUUGGGAAUUGCAUUGGUGACUGCACGGCUAGAGUGUGUCAGAGGGGGGUAGAAUUCCACGU
RNAcentral lists this ribosomal RNA (607 nucleotides) under Ralstonia sp. MR-CH-I20. Its description in RNAcentral is "bacterial SSU rRNA". It matches the Rfam family "Bacterial small subunit ribosomal RNA", at positions 74 to 674 of the family's 1533-position model. The record is from RNAcentral. Lineage: Bacteria; Pseudomonadati; Pseudomonadota; Betaproteobacteria; Burkholderiales; Burkholderiaceae.